Molecule: ribosomal RNA, 460 nt
Filed under: uncultured bacterium
Lineage: Bacteria
Description: partial 16S ribosomal RNA
Rfam family: Bacterial small subunit ribosomal RNA
Source: RNAcentral
CCUACGGGAGGCAGCAGUGAGGAAUAUUGGUCAAUGGACGAGAGUCUGAACCAGCCAAGUAGCGUGAAGGAUGACUGCCCUAUGGGUUGUAAACUUCUUUUAUAAAGGAAUAAAACGAGGCACGUGUGCCUUUUUGCAUGUACUUUAUGAAUAAGGAUCGGCUAACUCCGUGCCAGCAGCCGCGGUAAUACGGAGGAUCCGGGCGUUAUCCGGAUUGAUUGGGUUUAAAGGGAGCGUAGAUGGGUUGUUAAGUCAGUUGUGAAAGUUUGCGGCCCAACCGUAAAAUUGCAAUUGAUACUGGCAGUCUUGAGUACAGUUGAGGUAGGCGGAAUUCGUGGUGGAGCGGUGAAAUGCUUAGAUAUCACGAAGAACCCCGAUUGCGAAGGCAGCUUACUAAACUGUGACUGACAUUGAUGCUCGAAAGUGUGGGUAUCAAACAGGAGUAGAUACCCCAGUAGUC